GACGAACGCUGGCGGCGUGCCUAAUACAUGCAAGUUGAGCGAUGAAGAUUGGUGCUUGCACCAAUUUGAAGAGCAGCGCACGGGUGAGUAACGCGUGGGGAAUCUGCCUUUGAGCGGGGGACAACAUUUGGAAACGAAUGCUAAUACCGCAUAACAACUUUAAACAUAAGUUUUAAGUUUGAAAGAUGCAAUUGCAUCACUCAAAGAUGAUCCCGCGUUGUAUUAGCUAGUUGGUGAGGUAAAGGCUCACCAAGGCGAUGAUACAUAGCCGACCUGAGAGGGGGAUCGGCCACAUUGGGACUGAGACACGGCCCAAACCCCUACGGGAGGCAGCAGUAGGGAAUCUUCGGCAAUGGACGAAAGGCUGACCGAGCAACGCCGCGGGAGGGAAGAAGGGUGUCGGAUCGUAAAAAUCUGUUGGUAGAGAAGAACGUUGGUGAGAGUGGAAAGCUCAUCAAGUGACGGUAACUACCCAGAAAGGGACGGCUAACUACGUG
RNAcentral lists this ribosomal RNA (497 nucleotides) under uncultured bacterium. Its description in RNAcentral is "partial 16S ribosomal RNA". It matches the Rfam family "Bacterial small subunit ribosomal RNA", at positions 28 to 507 of the family's 1533-position model. The record is from RNAcentral.